AACGAACGCUGGCGGCAUGCCUAACACAUGCAAGUCGAACGAGACCUUCGGGUCUAGUGGCGCACGGGUGCGUAACGCGUGGGAACCUGCCCUUAGGUUCGGAAUAACUCCCCGAAAGGGGUGCUAAUACCGGAUAAUGUCUUCGGACCAAAGAUUUAUCGCCUUUGGAUGGGCCCGCGUUGGAUUAGCUAGUUGGUAGGGUAAAAGCCUACCAAGGCGACGAUCCAUAGCUGGUCUGAGAGGAUGAUCAGCCACACUGGGACUGAGACACGGCCCAGACUCCAAGGGGAGGCAGAAGGGGGAAUAUUGGACAAUGGGCGAAAGCCUGAUCCAGCAAUGCCGCGUGAGUGAUGAAGGCCUUAGGGUUGUAAAGCUCUUUUACCCGGGAUGAUAAUGACAGUACCGGGAGAAUAAGCUCCGGCUAACUCCGUG
This 432-nucleotide ribosomal RNA is filed under the name uncultured bacterium. RNAcentral's name for it is "partial 16S ribosomal RNA". It matches the Rfam family "Bacterial small subunit ribosomal RNA", at positions 29 to 507 of the family's 1533-position model. The record is from RNAcentral.